CUCGUAGGCGGUUCGUCGCGUCCGGUGUGAAAGUCCAUCGCUUAACGGUGGAUCAGCGCCGGGUACGGGCGGGCUUGAGUGCGGUAGGGGAGACUGGAAUUCCCGGUGUAACGGUGGAAUGUGUAGAUAUCGGGAAGAACACCAAUGGCGAAGGCAGGUCUCUGGGCCGUCACUGACGCUGAGGAGCGAAAGCGUGGGGAGCGAACA
This 207-nucleotide ribosomal RNA is filed under the name uncultured bacterium. RNAcentral describes it as "partial 16S ribosomal RNA". It matches the Rfam family "Bacterial small subunit ribosomal RNA", at positions 568 to 774 of the family's 1533-position model. The record is from RNAcentral.